UACGUAGGGGCCUAGCGUUGUCCGGAUUUAUUGGGCGUAAAGAGCUCGUAGGCGGUUUGGUGAGUCGGGUGUGAAAUCUCCACGCUCAACGUGGAGGGGCCACCCGAUACUGCCAUGACUAGAGUCCGGUAGGGGAGUGUGGAAUUCCCGGUGUAGCGGUGAAAUGCGCAGAUAUCGGGAGGAACACCAGUAGCGAAGGCAAUCCCCUGGACCUGUACUGACGCUCAUGCACGAAAGCGUGGGGAGCAAACAGG
Molecule: ribosomal RNA, 254 nt
Filed under: uncultured bacterium
Lineage: Bacteria
Description: partial 16S ribosomal RNA
Rfam family: Bacterial small subunit ribosomal RNA
Source: RNAcentral